This 497-nucleotide ribosomal RNA is filed under the name uncultured bacterium. RNAcentral describes it as "partial 16S ribosomal RNA". It matches the Rfam family "Bacterial small subunit ribosomal RNA", at positions 28 to 507 of the family's 1533-position model. The record is from RNAcentral.
GACGAACGCUGGCGGCGUGCCUAAUACAUGCAAGUUGAGCGCUGAAGGUUGGUACUUGUACCAACUGGAUGAGCAGCGAACGGGUGAGUAACGCGUGGGGAAUCUGCCUUUGAGCGGGGGACAACAUUUGGAAACGACUGCUGAUACCGCAUAAAAACUUUAAACACAAGAUUUAAGUUUGAAAGAUGCAAUUGCAUCACUCAAAGAUGAUCCCGCGUUGGAUUAGCUAGGUGGUGAGGUAAAGGCUCACCAAGGGGAAGAUACAUAGCCGGCCUGGGAGGGUGAUCGGCCACAAUGGGACUGAGACACGGCCCAAACUCCUACGGGAGGCAGCAGGAGGGGAUCUUCGGCAAUGGACGAAAGGCUGACCGAGCAACGCCGCGUGAGUGAAGAAGGUUUUCGGAGCGUAAAACUCUGUUGGUAGAGAAGAACGUUGGUGAGGGUGGAAAGCUCAUCAAGUGACGGUAACUACCCAGAAAGGGACGGCUAACUACGUG